RNAcentral lists this long non-coding RNA (2630 nucleotides) under Mus musculus (house mouse). RNAcentral's name for it is "long non-coding RNA chr5:134599177-134601807". Lineage: Eukaryota; Metazoa; Chordata; Mammalia; Rodentia; Muridae. The record is from RNAcentral.
GGAAGGGGGCUGGACAUGAAGUGCAUAGCCCCAUUCCUCUCUGGACCUCAGGGUCAUUUCUACUAAGAAUCUUGAUCUUAAGCCAGGCAAUGGUGAUCAUACCUUUAAUCUUAGUACUCGAGAGGCAGAGGUAGGCAGAUCUCUGAGUUCCAGGCCAGCCUGGUCUACAGAGUGAGUUCCAGGACAGCCAGGGGCUACACACAGAAACCCUGUCUCAGAAAACAAAACAAAAAAAAAACCACCUUGCUCUUCGUUUCCAGGAAGGGUCUUUACCAGAGCCAGGUGUGGUGGCACAGGCCUAUAAUCCCAACACCUGGGGUGCUGAGGCAGAGGGGUGCCACAAAUUCAGUACCAGCUGCCUGGGUUACAGUGAGACUAAAUGGCAGAGGGUACUGACAAGAUAGCUCAGUGGUAAAGGCGCUUGCUUGUCUUCCCAGCCUGGAGCCCUCAUGAGGGCAGGAGAGCCAGCGCCACAGCUGUCCUCUGACUGCCUCCAAGUAAGUAAAGUGCUCUACAGCCUCAACCUGAGUUUGGAUUCCCCAGAACCCAAGUAACAAGCCAAGCACAGGGACAGAUGUCUGUGGUCCUAGCACUGGCAGGUCAGAGACAGGAUCCCUGGGGCUCGCUGGACCAGCAGGUCUAUCCCAUCAGCAAGCCUACCAGCUCAGCCACAGACACGUGUUCAGAAGGCAGGAGAGAUGAGAUUGCUCAGCAGUUGGGCUUGACUGCUCUUACAGAGGAGCUUAGGUUCAUAGCACUCCUGUAGGGCAGCCGACAAGAGUCUGCAGUUUCAAGUGUCCCAGUGCCUCCAGAAUUCUGCAGGCACCCACACAUGGAAUAUACUCAGACACAGGUUUUAAACCAAAGGUCAGGUGCAGUGGUGCCUUUCAGCCCUGUAUCCAGGAAGUAGAAGCAGACAGGGUCUCUCAUCAGGGUCACCCCGGUUUAUAAAGCAAGUUCCAGGGUAGCCAGGGGCUACACAGUGUGACUGUCUUAAAAAAAAUAACGGAGAGCAACAACAGAGACAUUCAGCCCUAUGAACACACAGGGGAAGGUGUUUAAACAAAGGCAUGUGUGCAGCGCCUGCUCUCACACUCACAGGGUUUAUUGGUGUUUGGUGAGGGGGCAGUUUUAUUUCCCUAUCACCGACGCACAAGGUCCCCGCAGGAAUGAAAGAUCAGAACAAACUGGAGCCCACUAAGAAACCAAAGCGAUCCCAGGUUACCCCACACCCCAUUCCUCUGCUACAGUUAGUACACAUAAUGCUCUGAGACAGGGAACCCCCUGACAUUGACAAUAUUAAAUACGACUCCAGCAACUUCAGUUAACCACAAAAAGAGUCAUAGCAACAGUCCUAGAAGUCGACAUAAGUAAUCUGAGGUCCAAACAAAGAAAGGAAAAAAAAAAACUGGUAUGCCGCAAUCCCAACACUAGGACUGAGGGUUACAAGUUUGAGAUCAGCCUGAGUAACUUAGUGAGAUCCUGCAGCCAAAACAAAAACAAAACCCACAAAUGCCACUGUUGUGCCUCAUUUUAGAUGUGAGACUGGGGACACAUCUUGCCUCAGGUCUUGGGCUUCCAGUCAGCACAGUCUAUAUCCUCUGGGCACUUGCUUUGCCCCCAAAGAAGUCCAGGGCAUCACUUGAGGGUUGGGGCUCUGGCGAUGCCCAGUGUCUCCCAGGCUGUGGAGCAGCCACGGCCAGGGUGUGAAACUUGAGCAUCCCUGGAGAACAGGCUUUAUUCAGCAGGCAGUAAAGGCUUCAGUUCCCGCUCAGAUCCCCCAUCCUCGGGCCCUUCUGUAGAGAGGAGAGUUGGGGAGAUGGCUCAGUUGGCAACAUAAGCAAGAGGGCCUGAGAUCAACUUCUAGACCCUGCCUCAAAAGACAUGCCUAUAAUCCCAGCACUCCAUAGGUAGAGGCAGGAGGAUCACUGUGAGUUCAGGGCCAGUGUGGUCUGCAUAUCAAGUCCCAUGCCAGCCAAGGCCACAUAGAACCUAUCUUAACAACAAAAAAGACAGCUUACCGGGUGAGGUGACACACACCUGCAAUCCCAGAAUUCCACAGGGGAAGGCAGGAGGAACCGAAGGGAACAAGACCCAGAUUCAUUUCCUUCCCAUGUCAUUCAAGAACCCCAGUGCUGGGGCUGGAGAGAUGGCUCAGUGGUUAAGAGCACUGACUGCUCUUCCAAAUGUCCUGAGUUCAAAUCCCAGCAACCACAUGGUGGCUCACAACCAUCUGUAACAAGAUCUGAUGCCCUCUUCUGGAGUGUCUGAAGCUACAGUAUACUUACAUAUAAUAAAUAAAUAAAUCUUUAAAAAAAAAAAAACUCCAGUGCUGACUCUGGCUAGCUGGUCGCCAACCUCUUCCAGUGAGGAAGAAGAGAGAACCUUUGUCUUUAAAUUUCAAAGCCCUGUCACUUCUACCCCAAGUCACAACCCUUUCCCCAUGUCUGUUUAUCACCAGGGAACAUAUUGUGUUUUUGGUUUGGGGAAUAUUUUGAAACAGGGUCUCACUAUGGUAGCCCAGGCUGGCCUAGUAGUAAGUCUACCUGCCUCUGCCUCCCAAGUGUUGGGAUUAAACAUGUGUGCCACUAUGUCUGGUUUAUUAAAUUUUCUUAUCUGUUUUAUUAUUU